Passer domesticus (house sparrow) is the source of this 253-nucleotide long non-coding RNA. RefSeq lists it as uncharacterized. The transcript has 3 exons. The record is from RefSeq and is a predicted model, not a curated record. Lineage: Eukaryota; Metazoa; Chordata; Aves; Passeriformes; Passeridae.
UCUCCAAAAUGCCAAGUGAUUCUGAAUAUUCUGCUGACACCAACCAUCAAUACAGCUGCACCAGCCUAAAAAUGAUUUCCAUGUACACACACCUCCCAGGGACAUGGAAGCAAGAUUAGGGCUUUUUAUGGCACACUGGGACAGAAGUGAGAAGACGACAGCCUAAAGCCAGCUCUUAAUCAAAUGCAGAUUUACCUAUGGAGAACAGACCAAUUAUUAGCAAGUUGCAUUAGGAAACAGCUGGGGAACCAGA